This 14502-nucleotide long non-coding RNA is filed under the name Homo sapiens (human). RNAcentral describes it as "HSALNT0394653". The record is from RNAcentral. Lineage: Eukaryota; Metazoa; Chordata; Mammalia; Primates; Hominidae.
AUUAUUGGAAGACAACUAGAAAGAGGGUCCACGGAUGACUCCAGGAGUCUGGGUUGGCUGAAACCCCGGGAAGAAAGACUUCUCCAAUGUACACUGAUGGUGGGCUCUUCGCCUUUAUGGCUUUCUCUGCUAUCAGCAAGGGCUGACUCAGCAUCCUCUGGACUGUGAGCCAAUGCUGCUAUUUCAGAGGGGGCCAAUUCAGGCACAACAGCAUCUGCCUUUAGACUAUCAGGUACAGCCCAGACCUUGUCAGGAAUUAUGAGACCACCGUCUGAUGCCUUGCUCUCAGAAUUUGUCAGUUGUCGUGGUGGCCAGAUUUCAGAAGCGGAAGCCUCUAGAGUUAUAAUCUUCAGCUUGUUGCCUGCCUCCCAAUUUCCAGGUCUAUAUUCUUUAGACUCUUCCAAAAGGAUAUCAGAGAGAGAUGGAACGUUGCUCAGAGCCUGACUGUCUUCUUCCCCAGCAGUUUCAGCCACCACGGAGACCCUCGUCCCCCAACCUGAGCGCUGCCCUGCUCCUUCCCUAGAGCUUGCGGGUGAGUGGGCCGUGGGCACCAAGUUUCUUUCCUCUUGUGCAGCAGAUGUCGUAGGCAAACUUUGUUGGAAAUCAGGUGCAGAAAGAGAACCCUGCUGGGACAGGCUCUGCUGCUGGACCCCCUGCUUUGUUUCACUUCCUCUUUCUUGGAAAUUCUCUUCAUAGCUCCUAAAGUCUGCUCUGUCCACAGUCUGGCUCUUAUCUCCAGACAGGUUAUCAACCUGAAGAGGGGAAUUACUGCAGAAACCCUCUCCCUCUGGGAGCUGCAGGACAUGGUGUGGGACUCCUGGCACACUGGGUGCCCUGCAAAGUAGCUCUUUUGUAGAUUUGAUGGUAGCACCACUUAAAAUAUGAUCCAACUGCACUUGGGAAGGAAAUUGGGAAACCUUUUCAUGGGAUGCACGAGGGAACCUCUCCUCAGUGCCACCUGCAUGCUUGUCCUCAGGAAUUGACACAGCAAGGUAUUUGGCUGGGUGGACUUCGGUGGCAAUGGUAACAGUUGAUGUGUCCUCAGUCUCCCUGGUCGCUUGAAAGCACUCAUUAUUAGCAGUUAAUGUUGUUGGCUUCUCCCAAGGAAAACUCACAAUUGAACUAUAACUGGCUGGUGUGGCUGUGGUGUCUGCGGCACUAGGACUGGGGCUCUUGUCACCUCCUUCUUUAAAUUGCACUAAAGGAUUGUUCUCAGAAGAAAGGAGCUGUGUUUCAUCAAGCCCUCCUGAGUUGCUGGGGCUUGGCUGCUCCUGGCCAGCAUGUACUGUGGAGGCCAGUGGGUAGGUGGAAUUCUCCACCUUGGCUAGAUUUUCUCCUGUGGCACCUUCACUAGCUGUGUGUGAAAUGUUCAAGGUGAAAGUACUGGUAAAAAGAGGGGACAUGACUGAGUUGCCGUCCUUGCUGCUUUUGCACGUAGACACUGAAGUCUCAGACACUUGUGUCUGAAAAAAGACUUCCAGUGUCUUGUCAUUAGAAGAACAUAAAUCAGAUACUUUGUUUUGACCUUCUGCCAGUUCCGUAUCUACAGAGCAAAUUUCUUGAGGCGAAUAUUUAUCAACUGGUCUCCCAACAAGAGAAUCUAUGGUAUCAAAACACGUUCCUUGGUCACCAGCCUCAAAACACUCCAUUGCACACACUGCUUCUCUGUCCCUUGGCUCAUCACACACAUUUUCCAGGGUGAGGGCAGUAUCUGUGGGUUCAGGGGAAGCAACAGAGACAGCCACAGGCUCCCUGAAGUCAGCACGAGCAUCCUUGGGGAGAUGCCUUGAGAACACACCUGGGGACAUAGUCUCAUCAUUGGCUUCUGAGAUGCUCUGCUCAUAUUUUAGGUCUUCCCUGAAAUUGUCAGGUAUGUUGCCAUCUCUGUCUUGUUUUUCUUCAUGCUGUGGACCACAGGUACAGGGUUUGACCUCCGAGUGUUGAGCUAAUGAUGCAUUUUCCUUGUGGACCCCUCCUAAGUUUGAGAAGGAAAUUGUUGUGGUCCCAGUGAAUGGGGACUCCUCCCCAGCAGGCUCUGAGAAAGCUGGCAUCUGGCUGCAAGAGAUUGUCUCUCUGACUGUUUCCUGAACUUGUACCUAGGAAGAUGAAAAGUGAUAUUAGUAGAAUUGUUCAUGGGAGAGCCCACAAUAGGGCAUAACUGCAAUCCCAAGAGUGUUAAUCCUCAAUGACCGUAAUAAUGGACAAGAAUGAUUGAAAUCUAAACAUUAAUCCCCCAACUCCCUCUAGCUAUUAGAGAUUUCCUAGAAAACUGCAAAUUUAAGCAACUCUGUGUUCCAGGGGGCCCUUUGUCAAAUUCAUCAUUAUAAGCAAAAAGCCUCCUGACAACCAUCAUUUAUUUAAUGAUUUCUUUCUCUCUUAGGAAAUAGAUGGAAAUAAAUCGAAUGUUAACUGUUUUGAUCAAGUAAGUCACAACAAGAGCUGUGCGCAUCUUUCCAGAAAGAUGAAUCUCACAUGAUCAUAAUAAAUGAAAUAAACAGUACUUGCAAAACAGCAAUAAGCAAUCUUUGUCCCCAAAAUAUAACAGCUUGCUGGUUAAUAAUUGCUAUGGUUUGGAUAUUUGCCCCCUCCAAACCUCAUGUUGAAAUUUGAUCCUCAGGGUUGAAGGUGGGGCCUAAUGGGAAGUGUUUGGGUUAUGGGGGUGGAUCUCUUACGAAUAGAUUUAUGCCAUCCCUCAGGGGUGGGGGGAAUGAGUGAGUUCUCAAUCUAUUACUUCCUCGUUGUUAAAAAGAGUCUGGCACCAUCCCCACCCCCACCCUGCUUCCUCUCUGUCCAUACUAUCUCUGAAAAUGCCAGCUCCCCUCUGCCUCCCAUCGUGAGUUGGAAGCAGACUGAGGCCCUCACCAGAUGCAGAUGCCUAAUGUUGAACUUUCUAGCCACCAGAAUCAUGAACCAAAUAGGCCUCAUUUCUUGAUAAACUACCCAAUCUCAGGUAUUCUGUUAUAGCAACAUGAAGUGCACUAAGAUAACAAUGUUACUAAAAAACAGAGAGAAGGCUGCCUUUGAACCCACCUCUAAUGAAUAAAUGGACUUAUGAUUGGCCACCAGCACUGCCAAUCAUUUCUUUCCUAGAGAAGCUUAUAAACAUCCCAGAAUGUAUCCCAGACUUUAAAAUAGAUGCCCAGUGGCAGGCAGACCACCUCUACAGGAAAUAGAAGAUUCAGGACUGCUUAGGUUUUUGAGAAAAGGGGAGAGGGGGAGGGAGGGAGGAAGAGAGGAAGGCAGAGAAAAAGAAACCUCACAUUCUGAGGAUUGAGCCUUUCAUGGUACUAUAUGAACGUUCCAUGAUAUUGGAUAUUGUUCAAGGAAGCAGCAAACUCUUUGACUAAAUCCUUGUCUCAUGAAACUUUUAGCUCAUUGAUUAUUUCAAAACAAAGAAAACUUAUGUCCAGCCAAGGAGAAGAAAAUUACUUCUAAUUUCUGAAGCAACUCAGUCUUUGCUCCCAGGACUCCUGCCUUGGACAGCCACAUUCAGAUGUGCAGGGAACAGAUGACUGGCCUUGGCGGGAUGGGGUUCAGGGGUGGGGAUGAAGUCUGUCUCCCAGCGUAUGACAAAACAGAGCUGAAAUGUUCAUGGGCAUAUUAUGGCUCCAAUGUCAUGAGAUUGAUUCUCAUAAAUCAUACAUGACAGUCAGUCUUACUACCUUGUGGUCAAUCCCUGUAUGUACUGCCCGUGGGAAGCAGGACAACAGCAUAAUCACACCUCUUUCCACACUUCCCCCAGGCUGCUUACAGCCUGUCAGUCAUGCAUCUCUCAUUUUCUCUUUUAAAGCUACUUUGAGGUUCAUUUAACUCAUAUUUGAUGGGCAUAAAAAUGCUAACUAAACAAGAAAGAAAUUUAAUAUAAACUCCAUGAGGGCUAGGACUACUUAAUCUUUUCAACAAAUAUUUAGUGAAUGCCUCCAAAGUACUAGGGAGUGUUUUAGAUAAUGGGGAUACAAGACAGGCAAAUGCUCAUCUACAAGGAGCUCCCAUUCUGUGUUCUAGUGAAGGCCUGUUAUAGCGAUUAGCAUGCGGUAGAUGCUUACUAAGUGUUUGUUGAGAGAAUGAAUAAAUGAAUGAACCAUGUACCAGUUGAGACAGCUGUAGCCAACUUCACCCAUUAAAGCUCUACACUUGAAAGGGUUUGAACUUUCAUCUGCUCCUGACUUUGCAACAACCCCAUUUUAAAAGAGACUUUGAACCCUAAGCACUACUGGUUAUCCUGGUGUUCCCGGAAAGAAAAGUAUAUUUAUUCCCUUUCUAUAUCCCUUUUUCUUCUUUAUUAAAAAGAAGAAAUAUCAUUUCUGGGAAAUAAGGGAUAAGGUAUUUUUUUAAAAGAGUUUGAUGUGCAUAUGCUUUCCUCUCUAUACCUCAAUAUCUGUAACACAUGUAAAGAGUACUUUUCUGGUUUGGUAUUUUGGUUCAGCCUUUUAAGAAUAUGCUAUAGCACAAAUAGACUGAGUCAUUAAGCACAGAAAACAUGGGGAACUUCCUGGUCAUUAUGUGAAAUGUAUAGAGAGACUGCCCCAUCAAAAGCACCACCACCCCUCUCUCCGGCCUUUCUAUCCUGCCUGCAUUUCCACUACCUAUGUCAGUCCCUUAUUUUAAGGUCCUGGUAUUAUCACAGUAUCAUCAGUGUCAACAGACAUUUAUGGAGUAGCUGUCAUGUGCAGAAUUCUCUGUCAGGCACUGGGCAAUUUUUUCCAAAGGGCUUCAGUUAAAAAGUUACUAUGAUAUUUACUGGGAUGGUACCUUUAUUCUUCCGUGAUUGAUUACUAUUACAUCAGCAAAGUAAUAAGCGGGUACCUAGAAGAGACUGACCUCUGAAGAGAAUUAAACACAGGACAAGUUUUCAUUAGGAUGAGCUUGGUCACUGGAAUAGAUCAUCAUAGUAUCAUGCCGUGAUUUACAAAAUAAUCAUAUUCCAUUGAGAUUUAUUUGCACCUUUCCUCUUGUAUUAGUCAGUUCUUGCACUGCUAUAAAUACCUGAGACUGGGUAAUUUAUAAAUGAAAGAGGUGUAAUUGGCUCACGGUUCCACCGGCUAUACAGGAAGUAUGGUGGCAACUGCUUCUGGAGAGGCCUCAGGGAACUUUACUCAUGGCAGAUGGCAAAGCUGAAGCCCACAUCUUGCCCGACAGGAGCAGGACCAAGAGCGAGCAAGGGGGAGGUGCCGCACACUUUUAAACAACCAGAUCUCACAAGAACUCACUCAUUGUCACGAGACCAGUACCAGGAGAUGGCGCUAAGCCAUUCAUGAGGAACCACCCGCAUCAUCCAAUCACCUCCCACUGGGCCCCACCUCCAACAUUGGGGAUUACAUCUCAGUGCAAGAUUUGGUAGAGACACAGAUCCAAACCAUAUCGCCCCUCUUACUUUUAAAUUAAAAUUCUACUUCAAAAUACCCUAGUGAAUCUCCACAUGUAAAAAAAUUGGUUGAAUCCUUGACCGUGUAAAUUCAUACAUUUGACACACAUUUAGUGACCAUCUACUUUAUACCAGGCACUGUUCUAGGCAGCUGGGAAACAUCAAUGAACAUAACAGAGAUUGCUGGCCUGUGGAAGUUACGUUGAAGCAACAAACCGUACAACUGGCCCGCUGCUGAUAAGCAAUUCCAUAAAUUUGAUUUUAACCAAUGGGGUUUUUUUUGAAGUGAAGCCUUUAACAGCCCAGUUCAUAUUUGUACUUGCUUACGGCAUCAGUUUCAAGAGCAGGCUCCUCGGUUCUCAUCCAGAGGCCAGCUCACAGAGAAAGGGAAACCACAGACUCACACCUUCCCAAUGAGUCAGACCUUUCUUUUAGGAGGAGAUUUCUUAGUUAAGUCAUUACAAAAGAAUGCUAGCAAAUGAUUCUUCUGCUGUGCACCUAUUCUCAGCAUAGAAUGAGUGCUGAAACUUCGAGUGAGUGCUGACACAAUUUCCUUAUGUAGGGAAAUUGUACUCAUUCAAGUGAAAAAAGGAGUGUUUGGGGCUCUAGGAGUAAGCCCAACAUAGUGUGUGGUGCGUGGACUUGGAGGACUAGCAACCAGCGUUUGUAGCCCAGCUUAAUUGGAUAUAGCAUGCAUGACCACGGGUAACCUCUUUAGCUUCUCUGACCCUCUGUCUCCUCCUCUAAGACUAACCACAUGCAUGUCUGCACCAUCUUGUCAAGUGCCUGACAUAUUGCCUGGUGCCCAGAAGGCACUCACUCACUGAUACUAAUUUUCCUUCUUCUCUGUGAAAAAACAGCAGUAGCUCAGGAAAAGAGGAAGUUGGGGAGCUCUGACAGGCAGAGCCUUGAGCUAUGAGCUUUAUGAGGGUUUUCUCAUCUGAUCCGUAAAAUAAAUCUGAGAAAAAGAUGUUAUCAUCUCUUCUUUACUGAUGAGAUGAAUAGCCUAGGUCCAAUCAUAGAAACCACACAGUAGGUUAUAUAAGAGAAGUUCAAUAUAAAGAACUAUUGACUGUGAUAGAAGAGUGCUAUAAGGUAUAAGGAAACUGUCUAUAGUACUCUAGGUAAGGGAAAGUACCAAGGAAGGACAAAGUUGGAAGAGGUUUAGACCUACUUGGAGAAGGUGUGGUUAGGCCACCAGAUAGCACAGAAGUUCACUGGUGCAUCCAGACCAGAGCUGGCCUGGAAUUGCCGAGAAAAGCAAUAGACCUCCCUUCCAAGUGCAGGCCAGGAGUAGGUGGUCAGCAUGCAGUGGCGUGGGUGUGCAGGGGAGUCUGGGCAUGGGUGGUCACAGGGGCUGAAGCCUUCAGAGCUUGUGGGCUACAUGUGGUGUGGGUCAGGAGUUUGCAGAGUGCUAGUUUGAAUGUCCACUCAAAACUCAUAUUGAAACUUAAUCCCCAGUGUGGCAAUACUGAUGGGUGGGGCCUUUAAGAGGCGAUUGAAUCAUGGGAGCUCUGCCCUCAUAGAGGGAUUAAUCCAUUUAUGGAUUAAUGAAUUAAUGGGCUGAAGGAUUGAUACGUUAUCAAGGGAGGGGACCUGGAGGCUUCAUAAGAAGAGGAACAGAGACCUGAGGUGGCAUAGAGCGUGCUUAGCCCCCUCGCCAUGUGAUGCCCUGCUCUGCCUUGGGACUCUGCAGAGAGUCCCCAGCAGCAAUAAGGCCUGCACAAGAUGCAGGCCCUCUGCCUGGGACUUCUCAGUCUCCAGAGCUGUAAGAAAUACAUUUCUUUUCUUUAUAAAUUUCCCAGUUUCAGGUAUUUUGUUACAAGUAAAGAAAACGGACUAAGUCACAGAGGGAACAAGUGCUCUGUGCACCAGACCUCAGGCGGCUAUGUGUAGACCACACAGGAGCUUGUGGAGGCAGUCUGUGCGUUGAUACAGGCAGGAGGCUUUAAGAGCUGGGGGCCAUGCGGGGCUCUGGGUUCCAAAGAGAGAGGGCAGCAGAAAGGGUAUCACUACACUAAGGCUACAAGGUUGCAGAUGACCACGUUCUGGGGCCCAUGGCUGAGGCAGGAUGACCACAGGCUCUCCAACUCCACCAAUGCUGAAAUGACAGGAAUUCUCUUCCUCCUGCAGUGUCCUUCCAGUGCCUUCUGCUGAGAAAGCGUAAUACUGUGCUUACUUUAAAGAAGAAUAAUGGAAUUUCGUUAGUACAGGGCACAUAUUAAAGGGUGAAUUCAGAGCUGAGAGGAAUGAAUUAAAAACCGACACAUGAGGUCAAUGAUGUUUGGGGAUGAGAAGUCUCCCCAGGGUCCCACAGUCAAAGGCAGAGCCAGGAUUUAAAGCCAAGUCUGUGAGGCUACAGAGCCCUUUCCAACCCAGCAUUUCUAAUCAGGUAAGUUGGAAUAAACCUCACCUCACCAAGGGCUGGGAACUUCCCCUAAUUUAAGUCCAGAACUUCUAAGCUCCUGAAACACUUUGGAUAUGAAACUGCAAAUGUCCUUCUUAGGUGCAACAUGGCCAUCUCUCAAUUUCUCUACUUCCCUACAAGGUCUAAGGGUAGGGACUCAGUUAUUCAUUUCUGAGUCUCCAGAGCCUAGCACAUAGGGACUCAAAUAAUUUUGCUGAAUGAAUAAGCAGAUGAAUGAAUACAGGAGGGGAAAGGGUAAACCAAAUUUAGUAAUGUUUCCAAGCCUCUUUUUGAAAGCAGCAUUAAGCUUGGAAACUUAACGCUUGAAUAGCAUUUUUCAAUUGAAACCCCAUUCAACAUGCCUCUGAUUCCACAAACAUAUUAUUUUCACUUAUUGGCCUUUCCAAAGUUCUGCCUCCUAGGAAUGUCUGCCAUGGAUUUAAUGGAAAGGUGUGUUUCCUCUUUGUGCACCCCAGGAUGUUCAAGGUUAUGCUUUUCAUCAUUAAUGAGUGUCUUUCAUGCCAGCCAAGUGCAUGACACUAAUUUGAGUCACUAACAAUAGAAGGUUGUAUGAGAUAAGAUCCCUCUCCUCAAAUAGCUUAUAAUCCAGUUGAAGAGACAAGAUGUACAUGGAAAACAAGAUGUACAUAGAUAACAAUUCUUGACAAGUUGUGCUAAUAGCCAAGUGGAUGAAACUUAACUAACAACGCUGCUCCAGGACAGAGUGUGGAAGGUCACCACUGUAUCAUCCUCUUCCAUUUCAACGAUAAAAUUCCUGCAGUGCAGAAAUCAGAGGUUGUAAUCUUACGUCAUAUGUUUCAAUUCUAAGAUACUUCUUGAACAUUUCCAUGCAGUCUAAGGGACUUCUCUACUGAUUGGAAUGGGCAGAUGUGGUAGAUACUGUUGGCUGACUAAUUCAACAGUACCGCCAAUCCCCUUGUCUCUUGCUACCUCCAACUAAGAAGGCUGGAAAACCACACACUCUCCCAGCCUCUUACAUAGCUAGAUGGGGCAAAGGGGUCAGUCUGCCUAAUGAGAUGUUCAAGGAAUCCCACCAAGGGACUUCUGGGGAAGCUUUGCUUUCCUUGUGUAAGGUAUAGACAUGGUGGGUACCUUGCCUAUCCCCUCCUUCUUCCUUCAAUCAGGAUGUAAUGCCUGGUGCUGCAGCUCUCAUCUUCCAGUCCUGGGGCAUGAAAAUGAAAAGCCAGCACACUAUGACUGGUGCAGCAGAAAGAGAGAAGGAAGUUGGAGAUUUGCAGUCAUCGUCGAGCUACUGGAAUGACACACAGACUUUCACUAGCCCCAGACUUCUUGUGAACUACAAAAAAAAAAAAACACACACACACACACACACUAUUAGCUAGCUGACUAUUCUGUUAACUGCAGCUUCUCAGCAGCCUAAUGGAUAGAAGAGAAAAAUAUAUGGCUGAGGGAAGAAGGGGAAGCCAGGUGAGGGUCACCUUGGAACCCUCUGGAGGCUCUGGGCAGCUCCUGGUAGGGAUUAGCUGGAAGGGGACAGUGUCCCGUAGAGCAAGGGGUGUGGUCCCUGGAAGGGAGCUCAAGGUGCUGGUCAAAAUGCCAAGGGAUCAAAGGGCCUUAGGCAAGGUGAACUUGAAGUAGAGUGGGGGAGGGAGAAUGGGAAAUAUGAGAAGAUUGAUUGUCAAAGGAGAGAGGCCACAGUUCUAAAGCCAAUCAGAAGCCCCGGGGCCAGGAGGGCCAAGCCACUCGGUCCCUAGCUUCAACUGGUCAGUCUUCCGUGUGCCAACAUGCCCUACCAUGCAUAAUUUUCAUUCUCCAACUUCUUUUUUUUUCAAAGUUCUUUUAGUGUUCUUUCCUUCUUAUCUGGAUGAGGUAAGUAGAAAUAGCACUGUGUCCUUCAACAGUUGUCUACACAUCAUCAAUUUUCCCUUGUGGUUCCAGGAAACUUUAAAUGAGACCUUCCCCUCUCUCCAGCCAUUCUGGGCUGUUGUAGCCUCCCCCACGGAUAACCUUUCCUAAAUAUCUGCUGAGCUGUCACAACAGGCAGAGCGUCAUUCGGCCAUUUGUCAUUCGAUAGAUCAAAUCCAUACCACCUGGGGCUGCAAAACUGAAAAUAGAUAGCCCGGUCCCCAGCCAAAGAAAGCUUAAAGGCAAGCUAGAAUAUUUCAGGAACUUGAGUUUAUUUUUAGGAGUUGCCUGAUUGCCCAGAAAGAAGCUUCUCUUGAAGGCUUUGAAUAUUAGGAUAACACGUAAUAGACUGGAGGACUGUAACUUCCUUGAUAUUCAUCUAAAACCUCCAGUCCUGAAACAGAUCCUAAACACCCCUAUAUCUGACCAGCUCUUCUUCAUUCCAUUCCCUCCUAAGGGACAAGAAAUCCUCAGCCAACUGGUGUUACAAUUCUGUCUUCAUUUCUUGAGAGUCAUAGAGUUUGUAAAAUACUGAUUUGAUCUUUUGCUGGGAGAGGCCUGGGUUUCCAUGGUUCACACCCUUCCUAGGAGCUCUGUGAGUUCAGUGGGAGUCUUUGCCUGGUGACAUGGUACGAGUGGAAGGGCACUAGAGCAUGAGCCAUGAGCAUAUGAAUUUAUUGUACAUCUCAGGUGAGGUGAGCUAAGUAGUAACGCUACUAUUAGUAGUAAUAAUUGCUAAUCCCUACAGCCUUUUUAACACACGGCAGGCACUGUUCUAACUGCUUUACUUACAUUAAUGCAGUUAAUGUUGGUAAAAUGGCAUAGAAAUUUAUGACUUGAGGAUUUUGGGUUGUACAUUGCAAACGAAGGGAUAUACCAACUAUUCCAACACAGGCGGGGACCAUGUAAUGGCAAACUCAUGUGAAAUGGGUCACAAAAACGGCUGUCUUCUUUUCCUGCAUGCAUCUGUGUUUUCCUGCAUAGAUGAUGGGAGAUUUCUGGGAAAUGAGAGAGACAGAGUGAGCCAUAAUUUCCAUAAAGUGCAACUGUAUGCAAACAUAAGAAAAGAUGGUGCUAUGAAGCCCCAUGAUUUCUCUUGAAUUCCACUAGGCAUUUCUGAAUAGUCUCUGGGGGGUUUUUUGGUUUUGUUUUGUCUUUUUGCUUUUUUAUUUGCUGUGUCUUAAAAAGACACAGGAGAUGAGAGAAAAAUGGAGUAGGGUGAUGGAAAAAUGAUUUGAGUCUCAGAAAACUGGGGUUUGGUCUUGGAUCUGCUACUAUACAGGAAGUGGCUGUAGAGAAGUCACCAGGUCUCUCAGAGUCUUUCUUCCACAGUAAAGUAAGAGUUAGAUAACACCUCUUGCUUCCCAACAGCUUUGGUGUUCUGUGACCUGCUGCCAAGUAAAUGGGGCCUAAGCUUCACCCCUCAUUUGCAAUCAGAGGUUCCGUGGACUCCUAUGGCUUCUAGAUCUAAUCUUCUCUAUUAACAAUGAGAAUUGUUAGGGAAAAGGAUACAGCAUGUCACCAUGUCACCAUAGGUAGACCGAUUGAAGAUUGAGCCAGUGGGACCCCAGAGAGGGGCAGGAAAGAGACAGUGGGCUGGAGAACGGCUCACCAUGAACAUGCACUCUCUGGAUUCCAAGUUCCUCUGCCUCCCUGGUCUCUUUCCUUCUCCCUCCUCUAGGCAUUAAGUGCCUUGUGUCUUUGGUAGACUGCACUGUGUUGGCGUAUAGACCCUAUGGUUCAUCCUGCAGAGUCCUAGAGGCUUACAGACCUAGUCCAAGCCAGUGAAAAUCAUCACAGCCACAGAAUGCAACACCAGUGGCCUAAGCCUCCAACCUUGUUAGCCCUUUGUAAGAUACAGGCUGCUUUGAAGAGCCAAGAAAAGUUAUGGCUUCUUCCCAGAAAGUCUUGUUUUACCCACACAAUGUUGCACAUAAUUUCCGGGGGGUUUCAGACCCCCUUGGGCCUAUGGAUAUCCUGUUAAGGGCUCGUUGAGCCUCAGAAUGAAUCCCUGCUGUAUGUAGACCAUGAGCCUGGGGUGAGUGGGAUGGUAUUGUUUACGUCCCACAAACUGAAACUUUCCUGCAGAUUUCAGACAAAAUGAUAAGGGGAAAAAAUUAAUUCUUAGUCAGGUUCUAGGAGAGUAUUUUCAAAUCAAUAUCUCUCUUUAUAGUUUUUAGAAUUUGUGAGUAAAAGCAAAACCAAGGUAGUAGCAAUUACCACACUGCAAUGACAAUAAUACAUUACAUAAAGCAAGUUCUUGUAAACUUUAGAAGCAGGAAAUACUUGUCACGAUUACUACACUAGUACUUUGCCUCUUCAGUGUGGGCUUCAAAGUGUACAGCAGUGAUGGUAUUCGGCUAUUGGAAAAUCUGAAUAUAAACAUAAAUAUUAAGCCAGUCACCUGCCUCAGAUGCUCAUACCAAAAAAUGGCGAGAAAAUGCAGGUUUGGGGAUUGAGGAUUCUUUAUAUCCUAUAUCUCUUCUCUAGUAAGUCAGCAGGAUAGUGAUAGGACCUCGGGUUUGGUUUCCUGUGUUUUGUUUUUUUUUUUUCUUUGAGAUGGAGUCUCACUAUGUUGUCCAUAUCACAGUGGUGCGAUCUCGGCUUAUAGCAACAUCUGCCAUCCAGGUUCAAGUGAUUCUCCUGCCUCAGCCUCCCAAGUAGCUGGACUUACAAGCGAGUGCCACCAUGGCCAGCUAAUUUUUGUAUUUUUAGUAGAGAUGGGGUUUUGCCCUGUUAGCCAGGCAGGUCUUGAACUUCUGACUUCAAGUGAUCCACCCACCUCGGCCUCCCAAAGUGCUGGGAUUACAGGCGUGAGUCACCGCGCCCAGCCAGGCUUGGUUUCUUGAUUGGCAGAAAAUAACCCCUCUGGCAGUACAAUCACAGGUGACGCAGCAGGCAACAACGAUUACCUGCUAAGACUGAGAGACAGCUUCAUUCCAAAAAAGAGACAAAAUUUCCUGGGAUAUUGAGAUCGCUGAGAGGGACAACAACAUUAAUGUUGUUCUACUUGGUGCAAUGAGCAUGGUAAAUGCUCAGAAAUUAUGUCAAAUGAGUGAACAUCUAUCCAGUCUGAUCUUUGUCCAACAUCCCUUUGCCAACAUAUGUAGGAAGGUUUUGCCUCUUCAGUCUGGUUCUCUUCUCAUGUCAGAUCUCAGCAUCUCUCUGUUGAGACAUUGAUCUCCUACCUGAAAAUUGCUCCAGGCUCCUGCGUUUUGGUUAAUAUGUAGCUUCUACUAAACUAAAUCUCUUAUUCAUCACUAAUAGUUUGGUGCCUGGUUUGUUGGGGUCUUUUUUAGAUCUAAACCGAAGCUUUAUGUUCUCUUUUGAGUAGAGAGAGAGAAGCAUCUUUUGUUUUAACCACAAAUAAUUGAGGUUUCAAGUAUGUACCACUUAGAAGACAUCAGCAUAACUGUACCGACUAUAGCCAGGCACCAUGCACUGAAAGUGAGGAUGUCCAGUUUACCCUGGGCACAGAGCUAUAAAUUGCAAGGUACAACAGCAGGGUUGCAUUUAAAGAUGAGGGAAAUCAAAGGUAAGAUGUGAACUGAGGAGGACUAUGGUGCAGAUUACACCAGAAAUUCAGGGGCCCCUUUGGAUGGAUCCAUCGAAACAAACUUUCCCCUUGUAGAUGGAAGGAAAAAUAACAAUUCACAGAAAAGUUUCUGGGAAGCUGAAGUUGGUAGGGAAAUGCCUGGAGAACCAAGGAGGAGGAAACAUCUGGAAUUCAAUGUUGUGAUUUGAGCUAGGAAGGCAAAAUAUACACUGAGCUGAUAUUUGUGCAUAUGGUGGCUUGAAAAUUCACACACCUUACUUCUCAGGUGCCUGAGUAAAUGCAAUCCCUUUAUUUUGUCUCUGAAACCGAUCCUGUCUUCCUCAUGGGCCCCCAAUCAGGGAUGUGGGAGAUGAGUGGAAAAUAACAAAAUUUUCUUUCUGAUUAAGCCUAUUCUGGUCCAAUCCCUUGGGCAGUCCUCUAGGGAAUGCUCACUUUCUAGUACUGCUGGCCCCACCCUCUGGAAGACAGUGUCUGAGCUGCCCUGCAUGGGUAGGUGGAAGGGUGGCUAGUUCCUGUGUCCUGAAAGGGAAGCAGGCAAAGCUCUCCUGUCCUCUCAGUUUCCCUUAGCUUGCUCCACCACAAUCCCGGCAUUGCAAAACGUGGAGUCAGGACCUACGUGCCCCUCUCACCCUGACUCUGUCUCCGUCACCUUCCUCCUCCCAGUAGCUCUGAGCAGGGAAGGCUGUGUCCACUUGUCCACACCCUCACACCUGUUUGCUUUCAGAUUGUGCAGAGAUAAGAUUCUCUGAUCUAAGAAGAAAGGAACAUAGAAAACUCUCUCAACAAAGCCAGACUGUAAGGUUAUUGUCCUGCUUAAACAAAUACAAAACCUAUUUAUUUUCAUCUGUUUGCUUUCCACAGCACAACCCUUAUCUAUGCCUCUCUCACAGUACAACCCACAUUCUGGUGUCUAUGACAUACAACCUCCUUCCCCUCCUCCAUCACGUACAACCCCAUCCCCAUCUCCAUCACGUAAAACCCUAUCCCUGCCUUCAUCAUGAACAACCCCAUCUCUGUCUCUAUCACAUACAACCCCAUCCCCAUCUCCAUCACCUACAACCCCAUCCCAUUUCCAUCAUAUAUGACUCUACCCCCAUCUAUAUCAUAUACAACCCCAUCCCCAUCUCCAUCAUAUAUGACUCUACCCCCAUCUAUAUCAUAUACAACCCCAUCCCCAUCUCCAUCACCUACAAUCCCAUCCCCAUCUCUAUCAUAUAUGACUCUACCCUCAUCUAUAUCAGAUACAACCCAUCCCCAUCUAUAUCACAUACAACCACAUCCCCAUCU